UAAGGUGGUUGACAGUGGGUCGCUGGUGCACAAUAGGUCACGCACACUACGACGAAUCUAAAUACACUAUUAUUAGUUUAUUACGCGCCUUGGAUACCUCUGGCCAACACGUACCUACUAGCUCAGUGCCCACGGGACCGCGCGAACAGAACGUCGUGUGCAGGUGUGAACGUGAUAUCACUCCGCGGGUAGCAUAUUUACACUGCUGCGAAAAAGGGUCACCUGUAGAAAAGAAGGCGGAAUACCAAACGAACGAGUGGAAAAAGCAUAGGCUGCCAUUAAACAAUCUUGGAAGACUAUUUUUAUGUGGCUCUUACUUAUGUUGUAUGGUCAAAAUGUUCAUUUCAGAAAUAUUGAUCCCAUAAAAGCAUUUUGAGUAGUUAAUUAUUUAUAUACGCAUAAUAAUUAUUGUUCUAAUUUUCUUACAUUAUAAAGUUUAAGUUAGAUAACAAGAAAUAUUUAUUUUUGUUUUAUUGUAUGGCUAUUUACUAAGCUUCUAAGGCAGUAUAGUUGAAAUUCUUAGAAAUUGGAUCUUUUAGUUAGAUGAUCAGUACACCUAUGUUACUAGGUUUUGAUAUUUAGUAUUGACUAUUUUAAUAAAAAAUAAUACAUGUUCUGUUUCAUUCUUUUUCCCCUUAUCUUUCUGAUAUGAUUCUCUUUGGUCCACUGUAAACCACUGGUAUAUC
This is a long non-coding RNA of Leguminivora glycinivorella, 686 nucleotides long. RefSeq lists it as uncharacterized. The record is from RefSeq and is a predicted model, not a curated record. The transcript has 2 exons. NCBI's taxonomy places the organism in Eukaryota, Metazoa, Arthropoda, Insecta, Lepidoptera, Tortricidae.